RNAcentral lists this long non-coding RNA (231 nucleotides) under Elaeis guineensis (African oil palm). Its description in RNAcentral is "long non-coding RNA (EGUI_LNC080402)". Lineage: Eukaryota; Viridiplantae; Streptophyta; Magnoliopsida; Arecales; Arecaceae. The record is from RNAcentral.
UGACUCUGAGGGACCAGCCUUGUGAUCAGAUACGAACUGAAUAUUAGGAGAUGCUCUGUGAUCACGAGGAGGUGAAGACGGUCCCUCCUCCUCUACUCUCUUUUCAACACCCUUCGACCAACCACCAUCAGUCUUUGAGAAACCCAUGCGGUGCAGUGUAUGACGGUUGAUGGGGUCAGAGUGUGACAAUUUGGUGACUGCCUCCCCCUCAAAACAGACUCCGAACCUCCU